This 171-nucleotide unclassified non-coding RNA is filed under the name uncultured Sordariales. RNAcentral describes it as "sequence contains ITS2". Lineage: Eukaryota; Fungi; Ascomycota; Sordariomycetes; Sordariales. The record is from RNAcentral.
CAACCCUCAGGAGGCUCCGGCCGACUGGUGUUGGGGCCCCGCGGCCGCCUGCCGCGGGCCCCUAAAGUCAUCGGCGGUGCCUGCCAGCACUCCGGGCGCAGUAGCAAUCCUCGCCCAGGACGUCUGGCGGAGCGCCGGCCGCUAAGCAGCCCCCGCGGCACACUUUCAAGG